This 471-nucleotide ribosomal RNA is filed under the name uncultured Alphaproteobacteria bacterium. RNAcentral describes it as "bacterial SSU rRNA". It matches the Rfam family "Bacterial small subunit ribosomal RNA", at positions 9 to 524 of the family's 1533-position model. The record is from RNAcentral. Lineage: Bacteria; Pseudomonadati; Pseudomonadota; Alphaproteobacteria.
GAGUUUGAUCCUGGCUCAGAACGAACGCUGGCGGCAUGCCUAAUACAUGCAAGUCGAACGCUCGUAGCAAUACGGGAGUGGCGGACGGGUGAGUAACGCGUGGGAACCUGCCCAGUGGUAGGGAAUAACCGCGGGAAACUGCGGCUAAUACCCUAUGAGCCCUACGGGGGAAAGAUUUAUCGCCAUUGGAGGGGCCCGCGUCGGAUUAGCUAGUUGGUGGGGUAACGGCCCACCAAGGCGACGAUCCGUAGCUGGUCUGAGAGGAUGAUCAGCCACACUGGGACUGAGACACGGCCCAGACUCCUACGGGAGGCAGCAGUGGGGAAUAUUGGACAAUGGGCGAAAGCCUGAUCCAGCAAUGCCGCGUGAGUGAUGAAGGCCUUAGGGUUGUAAAGCUCUUUUACCCGGGAUGAUAAUGACAGUACCGGGAGAAUAAGCCCCGGCUAACUCCGUGCCAGCCGCCGCCGUAAU